CCGGGACGUCACGCCGCCUGUCUGUUUUCUCAAUGGUAACUUGGCAGGAGAAGGGGGAAGCGGCCGGGUUUUUCCUGGGCUUGUUACCGGGGCUGCGGAGCAUCUAUUCUGAAAGCAGGACGUUUUACGUUAAAGAGCGAGCCGAGGCCUGCAGUCAGCACUGAACUCAGUGUGACCAGCGUGCACGCUAUGAGCCGCAUUAGGAGUGAUGGGGGAUUACUCUUCCAGUGAGGAAAGUGUCUUUAACCUGAGACGAUGGCACAACAUGCACAAGAGGAUAUCUCAGCACACAGCCAAUGCAAUGAAACGAAGGAUCCUCUAUGGGAAUUGGUUAGUAGUGCCAAUGUUUAAUAUUUGUCAUAAUAACCACCAACUGUUUUGUUUUUUGUUCUAACAAUGUGAAUUAUGCAUUAAACAUU
This is a long non-coding RNA of Colius striatus (speckled mousebird), 419 nucleotides long. RefSeq lists it as uncharacterized. The transcript is spliced from 3 exons. The record is from RefSeq and is a predicted model, not a curated record. Lineage: Eukaryota; Metazoa; Chordata; Aves; Coliiformes; Coliidae.